GGCCAUUGCUAUCAGGGUUUGACUAAGCCAUGCGAGUCGAGAGGUGUAAGACCUCGGCAUACUGCUCAGUAACACGUGGUUAACCUGCCCUAAGGUGGAGCAUACUCCCGGGAAACUGGGGCUAAUACUCCAUAGUGGAUGCAUCCUGGAAUGGUGCAUCCUCGAAAGAUCCGUCGCCUUAGGAUGGGACUGCGCCCGAUUAGGUUGUUGGCGGGGUAACGGCCCACCAAGCCAUUGAUCGGUACGGGUUGUGGGAGCAAGAUCCCGGAGAUGGAUUCUGAGACAUGAAUCCAGGCCCUACGGGGCGCAGCAGGCGCGCAAACUUUACAAUGCGAGCAAUCGUGAUAAGGAAACCCUGAGUGCCUGUCGAUGCAGGCUGUUCAUAUAUCUAAAUCAUAUGUGAAGAAAGGGCAGGGCAAGACCGGUGCCAGCCGCCGCGGUAAUACCGGCUGCUCGAGUGAUGGCCACUAUUACUGGGUUUAAAGCGUCCGUAGCUGGACUGUUAGGUCCCUUGGGAAAUCUUCACGCUUAACGUGAAGGCGUCUAAGAGAUACCGGCAGUCUUGGGACUGGGAGAGGUAAACCGUACUUCGGGGGUAGGAGUGAAAUCUUGUAAUCCUCGAGGGACGACCUAUGGCGAAGGCAGUUUACCAGAACAGCUUCGACAGUGAGGGACGAAAGCUGGGGGAGCAAACGGGAUUAGAUACCCCGGUAGUCCCAGCCGUAAACAAUGUGCGUUAGGUGUGUCGGUAACCACGCGUUACUGAUGCGCCGAAGAGAAAUCGUGAAACGCACCACCUGGGAAGUACGGUCGCAAGGCUGAAACUUAAAGGAAUUGGCGGGGGAGCACCACAACAGGUGGAGCCUGCGGUUU
This 873-nucleotide ribosomal RNA is filed under the name uncultured Methanomicrobiales archaeon. Its description in RNAcentral is "bacterial SSU rRNA". It matches the Rfam family "Archaeal small subunit ribosomal RNA", at positions 22 to 903 of the family's 1478-position model. The record is from RNAcentral. Lineage: Archaea; Methanobacteriati; Methanobacteriota; Methanomicrobia; Methanomicrobiales.